This is an RNA transcript of Eucalyptus grandis, 2085 nucleotides long. RefSeq lists it as uncharacterized. The transcript has 7 exons. The record is from RefSeq and is a predicted model, not a curated record. NCBI's taxonomy places the organism in Eukaryota, Viridiplantae, Streptophyta, Magnoliopsida, Myrtales, Myrtaceae.
AAACGAAGCGGUCCAAUGGCGAAACCGAAAGGAGCGGGCCGAUUCGAUGAGGCCGGUUCGGGUUCUGGGCCCCCCGGGCCAUCUUUUUCGAGCCCUCCUUCUCAGCUUCCAUCCCAUUCAAACGACUGCGGGUUCAGCUGCGGAGCGUCUUCUCGGAGGUCGAAGCCUUUUCGAGAGCGAAUCCAUGGCGGCUUCCAUCUCCACCUCCGGCUACCACGCUCUCUUCCUUCCCCUCCCUCGCCUCUCCGCUUCGAAACCGUCCAGAACCAUGGAUUCCUCCGGCUCCCUCUCCACGGUCCGGGGCGGUUCGACCCUCGCCGGAGCGCGCGCGCGCGCAGGGUUCCCGUUCCCCCAGUCGCGCCGCCCGAUUCGAGCGAGCGUGAGCAGGCAGCGUCGCGGACCGUCUCUCGCUUCUUCCCGUGGCGCCACCGAGUCGUUCGAAGCCAAAUGCUGGCCGAUCCUGUCAGAUGCCAGAACUUCUUUCUUGCUGCUAUGGCUGAUGAUACAACUGUUGUGCCGGAAAGAUCAACAUUACAUGACAUGCCUGAAUCUGAAGAUAGUGACAAUAACCCCGCAGCCACUGAUGGAAAUGAAAAGGAUAAUAGUAGUGAUCUGAGCUUGGAUGACAAUAAAAUGCUUCGUGUAUGUGACAAGCUGAUAGAGGUUUUCUUGGUUGAUAAGCCCACUCCUACUGACUGGAGAAGAUUAUUAGCUUUUAGUAAGGAAUGGAGCGAUAUCCGUCCUCAUUUCUUCAGACGUUGUCAAGAGCGAGCCGACAACGAAGACAAUCCAGGGAUGAAACAUAAGCUGCUUCGGCUUGGUCGGAAGCUCAAAGAGGUAGAUGAAGACGUGCAAAGACAUGAUGAGCUUCUUGAAGUGAUAAGAACUGCUCCAUCAGAGAUAAAUGAGGUUGUUGCGAGACGCCGGAAAGAUUUUACUAAAGAAUUUUUCGUACAUGUUCACACUGUAGCUGAAUCCUACUAUGACAACCCAUCUGAGCAAAAUGCUGUUGCGAAGCUUGGGAACAUGUGUUUGGCUGCAGUACAAGCUUACGAUACUGCAACUGAAAGCAUUGAAGCACUCAAUACAGCAGAGUUGAAGUUUCAAGAUAUUAUCAACUCUCCCUCUUUAGAUGCUGCUUGUAAAAAAAUAGACAAUCUAGCAGCAAAAAAUGAACUCGAUUCAGCAUUGGUGUUGAUGAUUACAAAAGCAUGGUCAGCAGCCAAGGAAUCGAACAUGAUGAAGGAUGAGGUCAAGGAUAUACUGUAUCAUUUGUACGUGAGUGCAAGAGGCAACCUUCAAAGGCUGAUGCCAAAAGAGAUAAGGAUAUUGAAGUACCUUCUCACCAUUGAGGAUCCCGAGCAGAAAGCUUCUGCCUUGAAAGACGCAUUUACCCCCGGAGAAGAACUUGAAGGGAAUGAUAUAGACUGCCUCUACACGACUCCAGAGAAGCUUCACACGUGGAUAAGGACAGUGAUAGAUGCAUACCAUUUCAGUCGGGAAGGUACUCUUAUCAAGGAAGCUAGGGAUUUGAUGAACCCGAAAAUCAUUGAGAAGUUAAAGGAACUGAAGAAGCUAGUCGAAGACCAAUACAUGUGAAUCUCAAGGAUGAGUCUCUUAUUGCAGAUGCUGAUCCAGCAGUGGUCAUAUUGAACCAAGAUGCUGCUGCCCUUGAAGCAAUGGAGGCUCUUCUUUGAUUAACUUUCUGGGGGAUUUGAAGUGGGCUAAGAUGAAGCAAUAUGCAGUCAACAUAAUCGGGUUCUGAGAUGCACAGAAAACGUGCUUUUCGAUUUUGCAGGUUAUGUUUUAUUUAAAUGAAUUGGAACAGGCGGAACUCUCAGUUGGACCAUUGUUCAGCAGCUUCAUUAGCUUGUCAUAUACCCGAAGCGUAUCUAAUGUCCUGCGGCAUCACGGUCGGCCUUGUGGUCGUGAUUCGUGAGAGUUCAUCAUGGUAGCUGCUCUUUCAUCUAAACUUCAUCUUCCUAAUCUCUCGCGUUCCAUGUAUUGAAAGAGAAAUAUGCAGGAAUUAGUUUCUUUCCGAACCCUUCAUUGCAAAAUAUAUAUGAUGAAGUAAUGAUUUGUUCA